UGGGGUAUUGUGUAAUGGUAGCACACCGGACUUUGAAUCCGUUUGUCGUGGUUCGAAUCCAUGUACCCCAG
This 71-nucleotide transfer RNA is filed under the name Anaerolineaceae bacterium. RNAcentral describes it as "tRNA-Gln". It matches the Rfam family "tRNA". From Rfam's summary of the family: Transfer RNA (tRNA) molecules are approximately 80 nucleotides in length. Their secondary structure includes four short double-helical elements and three loops (D, anti-codon, and T loops). Lineage: Bacteria; Bacillati; Chloroflexota; Anaerolineae; Anaerolineales; Anaerolineaceae. The record is from RNAcentral.